RNAcentral lists this ribosomal RNA (7219 nucleotides) under Triticum aestivum (bread wheat). RNAcentral describes it as "partial small subunit ribosomal RNA". Lineage: Eukaryota; Viridiplantae; Streptophyta; Magnoliopsida; Poales; Poaceae. The record is from RNAcentral.
CAGCCGUGCUUGGAAAAAGAGAGCGCCACUCUGUCGGGUGAAGUGAUAGGUAAAGAUCUGAUCAGGUGAGGAAAAAAGAAGGUGGGGCUGGUGUGUUUAGAUAAGGUGGGGUUGGUCUAGCGGCCGCUUCCACACACGCCGCCGGUCGGGCACCUAGAGCCGCCGUACGGCCAUCAAGCUCUUUCGCCUUGGCGAGCUCCUACGACCCGUGCCUUCCCCCUCCUCGUCUCGGCAGAGGCUGCGCCGUACAGAUUCUCCGCCCGCGUCUCCCCCUAUCGCCGCCGCUAGCGGCCGCUCCCACAACGCCGUCGGACGGGUGCCUAGAGCCGCUACCGCGGACGAGCUCUUUCAGCGUCGUGAGCUCCUACGCACCGCGCCUCCCUCUCUCGUCGUCGCCUAGACUGCGGCGGCGGCAGGCGGCGGCGCCGCGAAGUCGCAGCCGUACACCACCUCCAGUUGGUCUUCCACCUGCUGCGGGACGGCGAACGUCGGCUCGACGAGCAGCUGCACCUGCGGCAGAAGAAAGGACGCUACACGGCUUCCCCUUGACGAGCGGCCCUCAGUGGGUACCGGUCCAUAAGGCAAGUGGAACGCCCCCACAGAACCAGUUUUGGAAAAGCGCCGAAACGGUGAGAGAGGCCGGCCAUGCAAUUGGGGAACGAGUGGCGGCGGCGGCAUUCUUAGAGAGCAAACUUGCUCAGUGUGGAUCGGCGACUAAGGUACCACUAAGGCGUCCUAGAACUAGAACUACGUGUUGGUCCUCCACUUGAUCCUAAAGACAAAGAAACGUGUCUAAGGUGUCGUAGAACUAGCUAAGUGAUCGAUUCGUUUUCCGAUGAGCAAGAACAGCCGUUCACGGGUCUUACCCAUCUACGUAAAACUAUACGUUAAAAAGUCACAGGUAGGAAUCAACAGUAAAGGUGGGAUCAUAAACAAGUACGAUUUUUAUUGUGUACCGUUUAAUAUAGUCAUGAAUAAAGAUAUCGAUAAAGCCGUAAAAAAACAUACCAAAUGCUAGCGUUGGCAGGACAGGUAUACAAAAAACAUCAAAGUUCAUAUGAGUUAUUUAAGAACUAAUAAUCGUGUUGUUAUACAGGGUACCGUAAAGCGCAUGUAAAAAAGGGGACCCUUUUGUGUGGAACCUUUCACGAGUACGACUGAUCACGAGUACAGUGUACCGUUUAAGAAUAACCUUGAUACGUUACGAGUGUACCGUUUACAAAAUUCUAAAGAAAAAUUAUUACAGUGUACCUUUACAAUCCUAUUAAAAAAGGAUUUAAUACCGUAGAAGGUAUUUACAAAGAUGACAAAACAGCGUACCGUUUAAAUCUGUUAACAAUAGAAGUAUUUAGUACCGUUGAAAUGUUUCUAUUGUUACAUCGAAAAAAGGUAUAGAAAACGUUUAGUACUAUUAUCAGUGUAACUGAUGAAAAAACAGUGUACCGUUGAAAACGGUACCGUUAAAAAAGGCAUCGUGCCGUUUGAAAAAAAAUAUAUUAGUGUGUUAUUAACAUACUAAAAACAUAGAAGCACUGUACCGUUAAAAAUGCGACAUCGUAACUAAAAUAACGGUACCGUUUAAAUGAAAAUAACAGUUCUACUAACGUUAAUAAUCGUUUGUUGGUACCGUUUAAAUCAAUUGCUUACUACCAUUUAAAUCACUCGCUUACUACCGUUUAAAUCAAUUGCUUAGUACCGUUUAAAUCAAGUAUCUAGUACCGUUUAACAUCAAAGAGUGAUUAAUUGGUACCUUUGAUCUUAAAGGUGAACUAGUACCAUUCAAAUCAUUAAUUGGUACCUUUUAAAUCAAAUAUAUAGUACCUAUUAAAAUCAAGGUAAAAAAACAGACAUCUGGUACCGUUUAAAGACGCUGGUGCUGUUAAAUAUAAACCUGUUUAAAGCAUGUUUGGUACCGUAAAAAAGAAACAUCGUACUGUUGAAAAAAGAUACUCUUCACACGGAGUAUGUAGUAACGUUUGAAACUUUGAACAAAAACAUAUUUGUGUGUUAUUAAUAUACAAAAAUAGGCGUAUUGUACUAAGCAAAUCCUUGUACCGUUAAAAAUGAAACAUCAUACUCUUUAAGUAAAUAUAACGGUACCGUUUAAAUGAAAAUAACGGUUAUGCUACCAUUAAUAAUCGUUUGUUGGUACCGUUUAAAUCAAUUACUUACUACCGUUUAAAUCAAUUACUUAGUACCUUUUAAAAUAAGUACUAGUACCAUUAUUAACUGGUACCGUUUAAAUCAUGUAUCUAGUACCGUUUAAAAUCAAAGAGUAAGUAAUGGGUAUCGUUUAAAUAAAGUAACUAGUACCGUUAAAAGUCAAACUACAUAACGGUACCUUUUAAAAUAAAAAAUUAACGGUUCUGCUACCCUUUAAAAUCAUUUACUGGUACCGUUUAAUUCAAACGCUAAGUACCGUUUAAAGUAAUCGAUACGUACCUUUUUUAGCAAUUAGUAACAUUUAAAUCAUUAACUGGUACUGUUAAAACUUAAAUAUCUAGUAACGUUUUGAAAUCCAGGUACAGAGUACCGUCACGGUUUUAAUAAAUGAUCACUAUUACAAAAGUGAAAAAAGUUGUGUACAAUUACGUUCCCCAUUAUACGUAGUGCCUUUUAAACUUUGUUUGCCUUUUAAAUGUGGUGAAAAACCGGUGGUAAACCGUUUGAAUAUCUAAAUGAAAACCAUAGUUACGCACAAAAAUACUGGUACCGUUAAAAAGAAAGAAAAACGUAGAACAGUUUUAAUAAAAGAAUACGCUGAUACCGUUUAAAUCAAAAUACCAGUGCCGUUAAAAAAGAUACGUAGUACCGUAAAAAACCACACGUUUGGUACCGUUAAAAGAACGCGGGUGCUGUCAAAUAUAAACUUGUUUAAAGUUUUAAAGUAUGUUUGGUACCGUUAAAUAAAGGACAACGUGCCGUUGAAAAAGCUAAAAACAUGUAGUACCUUCAAAAACGAGCAACGGUAGGUAGUACCGCAAAAAGUAAAAUACAUCCAUGACACAUCAUCGAAGUUGUUAAUAUUUUUAACUACCGUUAAAGAUCUAAAAACACCGUAAAAUAACAUGUCAAAAAAGAGUCAAAAAAGUCAACCCAAAAGAAGUGACAAAAGCACAAAAAAGACGUAAAUUAAAAAAACGUUUCCCUUAUCAAACCCGGUCGUCCGGAUUGUUUUCCGGGUCGAUUGCUCCCUAAUCCACCUAUCAAGCCUGACAACCUUGUACCGUUGCUUGCUUUGACAAGCGACUAUGAAGGGACGGCUUGGCUUGUUGAGCAAGCCUAGCUAGUGGAGUGUUGGGCUUGUAAGCCCACAAUAGCCCCAGCAUACAAAUUGUAAAGUCAGUUAUAUGGAAGAAUUGAAAAAUGGGGCCCGUCGGGAUUCGGCUUUCUGAAAUGAGGCUCGCUCACCUGCUCGCGCGCGGGGUGGAGGUAUCGGUAGCGGCCGAGGAGGCAGAGUACAGGCCCGUCCACGCUGUCGGGCGGCGCGCAUCUGCUAGGGAUCGAGUAGAGUGGUAGAUCCUCGAGGCGUAGGUUGUCAUUUUUUCGUUUCGAGCGUGACGCUGAGGACGUAAAUCUCACUCGCUCACUCACUGUGACACUCUCGAGAUCGUGGCACAUCCGUCCAAACCCAAUUCUUUUCGUUCGACGGGGUAGAAGAGGGACGGUAAAUGGGAGAGAAGGACGACGCAGGAGAAGAUGAGGAUGAGGAGAAGGAAAAAAAGGUUGGCGGAUGGGUGACUGAUGGGGCGAGCAAGCUAACCUCGGGGCAUCGAUGUAUCCAUCAAGUUAAUCCAGCUGCAACUGUCGCAACCCUACGGAUCGAGCAGCCGGACAGGAGGCACCGACCACGCGUACCACCGCCGUUUGCUGCUGGUCCGUAGCAGCAGGAGGAGCAGGUUCCCGCCCCAACGGCACGAGUGGUGACCGUGCGGGUGAUAUCUGUGCCCUAUGGCGCCGCCACCGCCCCUUCCGCCGUUACGGCGGCUGGGAGUCCUCUCGUCGUCAUCGCCCGUCAGGUCCGAGCGCCGCGCGCCGGUGACCGCAGGACGGCUCCUGUACUUCGAUGCGCUCGAGCACCGCGAGAUACCGGGGGUCUUGACCUUGGAGUAGCGGCUCUUCGAGCUGCCCUCUAGGCCCUUCUCGACAGCCGACGCUACCAAGUUGGUCGAACUGGGCGCCUAGUCGUUCGCGGGCAAGAGGCUGCUUCUCCUCCUCUUCGACUGCCGCCGCGUGGCGAAGAUGCCGUUGUUCACCAGGUACUAGCGCGCCGAGAAGGGGCCGGCCUGGCUGUUGCGGCAGUUCUUGGUGACCGUACAGUAGUACCGCGCGUUCAUGGCGCUCGUCAGGUAGCGGAUGGCGGCGGCGUUCGAGUUGGUCCGACAGGUCGCGUUCGAACUGAGCAGGAGGCCCCACCGACGGCCACGGCCCGUGCGGCUGCAGCAACCAGUGGUGGUGUUGGUGGAGGACAACCGGCGGUUGCUGAGGCGGUAGAAACGCCUAGGGAUGCCGAAGUCGAAGUCGGUGACGACGGAGAGAAAGGGACGGCCGCGGCGGCGACGGAGCCGCAACCUCGGAUGGAAGACGAACAAGGGGCCACUCAUUGAAUAGAUAGUAGUAGUAGUAGUAGUGGUGGUGGUGGUGGUGCAUAUCUCCGCCAUCUAAAAGAUAUCGUCGUGACGUUAGAGUUUUGACAAGUGUGACUGACCACCAGGGACUGUGUAAGGAUCGACUAAUAAGAUCUGCUGACCCGAAAGCCCUGUAUUUUAUGAGAUAUCACCAGCUUUCAAUAAAAUUAUUCACUUCUUUCCAUCUAUAAAGAUGCAAAAAAAAAGACUUUUUAUAAAGAUGCAAAAGAAUCCUCCCAUCUGUAAAGUUUCAAUCUAGUAGAGAUUAAAUAUCCCCUUUUUGGACCCUAAUUUUGAAUAGGUUUGUGGGGAAAUCAUGGGUGUAAAAUAUGCCGUUUGUUUUUUGUUAGGAAGUGCGGGUAAUUCUAACCCGUUUGUGUAAAGUCUUCUUUUGAUCCGCUUGCUAUUGUCUAGCCAUUACAAUGAGUAGGCUGCAAAGGAGCCUCUCCCCACCGUUCGCUUACGGUAAACUACUAUCAAAGUCAACUCUUCUUUUUAGUUUGCUGUUGUCAAAAUUUUGUUUUUUACGGAAGAGAUUUCUUGUACAGUACAGUAAGACUUAUUUGCCGGUAGGGCGUGUUAUUUUUACUGUAGAUUUUGCAAGCGUCUACGGUGAGAAGGACUGUUUGCAAGCGGUCAAUACUCGCAAGAUUGGCUUAACCUAUUGGGUAGUAUGGUGUUGUAGAAAGUGGUGCGGCGAUUGAGGUCGCUCGGCGCGUCCAGAUUAGCUGGUACAAGGGCGGACUCGGAGGAGGGUAGCGGCAAUGGAGGGCUGUGACUCGGUCACGAGUACCGACAACGGUGGCGCGGGUUGGUGACGGUUAAAGCUCGGAGGAGGGUGUAGAGUUCCGUGUAAGGCGUUCCGAAAGCAGCGGCGGGCUCGGUUUGGUGUCGGAGCUCGCAACGGCUUUGAUCCUUAAGUUUGAACCGUGUUGGAGGGAGGGUAGGCCGAUGGUGCUGCUGCAUACACCGCUGGAGGACGGCCGGAGACGUGAGAGAUGGCAAAUGUGUGUUAUACAAGCUGCCUUACUCUAUAGGUGUAAGAAAAAGGAAAAAUUAUUUCACUUUUAUAUCGUUUGUACCAAAAGGAAUGUAUGUUUUCUCCACGCUUUAUCUUCUUCUUUUUGGACCUAAUGGGAUUCUUUUGUGGACCUAUCUCAAAACUCCUACGACUGCGUAUCGUGCAUGAGGAAGGAUUUAGUUACCUAGACGACGCAUGAUGAGGCCGCUUCGCGUGCGCAUCUCGUUCCCUCCGGGGGUGGCACGCCAUGUGCCGGCCGGAAAAGCAGCCAAGGGGUGACGGUGGCCGGCCGUCGGCUUUAUUUACGGAGCGACCUUUGUCCGUCGUACACCCGCACUCUGCUACCUAGCUUGGUUGCUUCUGGUCCGUGACCGGCCCUUCUGAAACCUGAAAACGGUGCGUGUCGUGUCGGUGUCACUAGGAGGGCGUGUGCGUGCGAGUCAGCUAGCGAGUGGAGGGAGUGUCCGUGUCCCGCGUCGCUGUUCGUGUCACUAGGGCGUGUGCGUGCGAGCCCUAGUCCGCGCGUGCCCGGCUCGUCAACGACGGCUCGCCAUACCCCUCCUCUAGGUAGACGGAGCAGGAGUAUUUACCGGGAGAGUGGACAUGACAUUGGUGGUGGCGAAGAGGACAGGAACUCGACAAGGGAAAAGAGGCAGCCAACUGCUACGGCUAGCCUCAAAAAUGGCACAGAUGGUCAUGAGGAAGGCAAGGAUUUAUAAACAAAAAAAUUAAAGUUUAUUUGAUAGUGUAUACUUACAUAUAUUUGUAUGAGGAUAAAAUCUCGCAUAUAAGUGAGCAAAACGAAGCAUACAUCAAUGAACAACUUUAAAAAUCUUUUUUGUUUAUAAAUCCUUGUCUCCAUGUACCGUCAUUACAAAGCGAACACAAACAAAGCAGACCGACGUCCCGGGCCGCGGCGCAGGUUGAGCCACGUGCUGCCCGCGGAGAGCACCGGCCUGCGGUACCGGCACGCUCCUCCUCGUCCUCCACCGCCGGAAGUGACCCUCGGCGACGGCCGCGUUCCUCCGACCUAGCCGCCGCCGGCGGUGCUCUACCGUGCCAAGCUGAGGCUGGUCCGUUUACCUCGCAGACGGCGGCACAAACGGCACUGUCUAGUUCGACCGCAAGUGAACCUGCCGCGCAGCGCCAGCGGCUGAAAGUAUCUAAAGGAGCCCCAGCCUCGCUGUACUACCUAUCUGCCUACGUACCUAGCUACGGCUACGAGAUCGUCUCUCACGCACGCCGUCCACCUAGUGAUCGAUCAAGAUCGGAGAUCUGAUCUAUCCAAUGAUAUUUUUCGUGAUCGAUACACCCGAGACAUAUAAACCGACCGAACAAACGGUGAGAUGAACAAAAUUGAGUACAUGGUGUACUUGUAGUCGAACACAAACGUCCCCUCCAGCUACAGUCGUUAGAGUCGUCAACUGCCAUCGGCCAUCCACUCUUACUCUAUACACUUUAGUACUACACGCUCAUCGAUUCUAACAACUCGGCUCCUCGUAUCUAGUCCAAUAAACCUAUGGGAUCGUGUAUGAUCGUAUGAUAUUUUUCUCCCUUAAGGUAAAAAGUG